GCAAGUCGAACGAGGUGCUUCGGCGCCUAGUGGCGAACGGGUGAGUAACACGUGAGCAACCUGCCCCUGGCUCUGGGAUAGCCUCCGGAAACGGGGAUUAAUACCGGAUAUGACCUUGGUCUGCAUGGAUCUGGGUGGAAAGUUUUUCGGCUGGGGAGGGGCUCGCGGCCUAUCAGCUUGUUGGGGGGGUGACGGCCCACCAAGGCGACGACGGGUAGCCGGCCUGAGAGGGCGACCGGCCACACUGGGACUGAGACACGGCCCAGACUCCUACGGGAGGCAGCAGUGGGGAAUAUUGCGCAAUGGGCGGAAGCCUGACGCAGCGACGCCGCGUGCGGGAUGAAGGCCUUCGGGUUGUAAAGCCCUUUUGGCGGGGACGAUGAUGACGGUACCCGCAGAAUAAGCUCCGGCUAACUUCGUG
Molecule: ribosomal RNA, 421 nt
Filed under: uncultured bacterium
Lineage: Bacteria
Description: bacterial SSU rRNA
Rfam family: Bacterial small subunit ribosomal RNA
Source: RNAcentral